RNAcentral lists this ribosomal RNA (609 nucleotides) under Phialocephala sp. RNAcentral's name for it is "eukaryotic LSU rRNA". It matches the Rfam family "Eukaryotic large subunit ribosomal RNA", at positions 1 to 629 of the family's 3401-position model. The record is from RNAcentral. Lineage: Eukaryota; Fungi; Ascomycota; Leotiomycetes; Helotiales; Mollisiaceae.
AAGUUGGAUUUUUUUUGAAAUUCCCCAUAGCGGAGGAAAAGAAACCAACAGGGAUUACCUCAGUAACGGCGAGUGAAGCGGUAACAGCUCAAAUUUGAAAGCUAGCUCUUUUAGGGUUCGCAUUGUAAUUUGUAGAAGAUGCUUCGGGUGUGGCCCCGGUCUAAGUUCCUUGGAACAGGACGUCAUAGAGGGUGAGAAUCCCGUAUGUGACUGGGUGCUUUCGCUCAUGUGAAGCUCUUUCGACGAGUCGAGUUGUUUGGGAAUGCAGCUCAAAAUGGGUGGUAAAUUUCAUCUAAAGCUAAAUAUUGGCCAGAGACCGAUAGCGCACAAGUAGAGUGAUCGAAAGAUGAAAAGCACUUUGGAAAGAGAGUUAAACAGUACGUGAAAUUGUUGAAAGGGAAGCGCUUGCAACCAGACUUGCGCGCUGAUGAUCAUCCGGGCUUCUGCCCGGUGCACUCGUCUGCGCUCAGGCCAGCAUCGGUUUCGGUGGUGGGAUAAAGGCCUUGGGAAUGUAGCUCCUCUCGGGGAGUGUUAUAGCCCUCGGUGCAAUGCCGCCUACCGGGACCGAGGACCGCGCUCGGCUAGGAGCAUGCGAUAUCCGGAAGCCGG